GGGCCUGUAGCUCAGCCGGUUAGAGCAGAGGACUCAUAAUCCUUUGGUCCAGGGUUCGAAUCCCUGCGGGCCCA
This 74-nucleotide transfer RNA is filed under the name Accumulibacter sp. RNAcentral describes it as "tRNA-Ile". It matches the Rfam family "tRNA". Rfam says of the family: Transfer RNA (tRNA) molecules are approximately 80 nucleotides in length. Their secondary structure includes four short double-helical elements and three loops (D, anti-codon, and T loops). Lineage: Bacteria; Pseudomonadati; Pseudomonadota; Betaproteobacteria. The record is from RNAcentral.